This 405-nucleotide ribosomal RNA is filed under the name uncultured bacterium. Its description in RNAcentral is "bacterial SSU rRNA". It matches the Rfam family "Bacterial small subunit ribosomal RNA", at positions 36 to 436 of the family's 1533-position model. The record is from RNAcentral.
CUGGCGGCAGGCCUAACACAUGCAAGUCGAACGGCAGCACAGGGGAGCUUGCUCCCCGGGUGGCGAGUGGCGGACGGGUGAGGAAUACAUCGGAAUCUGCCCAGUCGUGGGGGAUAACCUCGGGAAACCGGGACUAAUACCGCAUACGACCUUCGGGUGAAAGCAGGGGAUCGAAAGACCUUGCGCGAUUGGAUGAGCCGAUGUCGGAUUAUCUAGUUGGCGGGGUAAAGGCCCACCAAGGCGACGAUCCGUACCUGGUCUGAGAGGAUGAUCAGCCACACUGGAACUGAGACACGGUCCACACUCCUACGGGAGGCUGCAGUGGGGAAUAUUGGACAAUGGGCGCAAGCCUGAUCCAGCCAUGCCCGCGUGAGUGAAUAAUGCCUUCGGGUUGUUAAGCUCUUU